GCACUGUGUCAGAUAACAGCCUUUCAAAUUCCAGAGGAGAAGGCAAACCAGACCUCAAAUUUGGUGGCAAAUCCAAAGGAAAGUUAUGGCCGUUCAUCAAAAAAAAUAAGACUCAGUCUUUCUGUUUUCACAAAGAACUCAUGAAGAGGACGAUAGGGAAACCCACGUAUGCCUUUGAGGCUAGGGACUAUGUUGUAAGUUCACCUGUGAUGGCCAGGUCAUACAGUCAUGGCACAGCCACUAACCCCAUUCACAGCACCAAGACUGGGGACCCAGAGGCACUCGUUAUGCUUCCACACUACGAAAUGAAAUUCUUAAUUGAGAGAACUGGACA
RNAcentral lists this small RNA (334 nucleotides) under Pongo abelii (Sumatran orangutan). RNAcentral's name for it is "processed transcript". Lineage: Eukaryota; Metazoa; Chordata; Mammalia; Primates; Hominidae. The record is from RNAcentral.